GACGAACGCUGGCGGCGUGCUUAACACAUGCAAGUCGAACGGAAAGGCCCUGCUUUUGUGGGGUGCUCGAGUGGCGAACGGGUGAGUAACACGUGAGUAACCUGCCCUUGACUUUGGGAUAACUUCAGGAAACUGGGGCUAAUACCGGAUAGGAGCUCUUGCUGCUUGGUGGGGGUUGGAAAGUUUCGGCGGUUGGGGAUGGACUCGCGGCUUAUCAGCUUGUUGGUGGGGUAGUGGAUUACCAAGGCUUUGACGGGUAGCCGGGCUGAGAGGGUGACCGGCCACAUUGGGACUGAGAUACGGCCCAGACUCCUACGGGAGGCAGCAGUGGGGAAUAUUGCACAAUGGGCGGAAGCCUGAUGCAGCAACGCCGCGUGCGGGAUGACGGCCUGCGGGUUGUAAACCGCUUUCGCCUGUGACGAAGCGUGAGUGACGGUAAUGGGUAAAGAAGCACCGGCUAACUACGUG
Molecule: ribosomal RNA, 468 nt
Filed under: uncultured bacterium
Lineage: Bacteria
Description: partial 16S ribosomal RNA
Rfam family: Bacterial small subunit ribosomal RNA
Source: RNAcentral